GGGAAUGUGGCUUAAUGGUAAAGCGCUUGCUUAGCAUGCAUGAGGCCUUGGGUUUAAUUCCUCAGUACCA
Non-coding RNA from Dipodomys ordii (Ord's kangaroo rat), 70 nucleotides. Lineage: Eukaryota; Metazoa; Chordata; Mammalia; Rodentia; Heteromyidae. The record is from Rfam.